RNAcentral lists this long non-coding RNA (1984 nucleotides) under Triticum aestivum (bread wheat). RNAcentral's name for it is "long non-coding RNA (TAES_LNC013436)". Lineage: Eukaryota; Viridiplantae; Streptophyta; Magnoliopsida; Poales; Poaceae. The record is from RNAcentral.
CGGGGCUUUGAUUUUUCUGGUAGAAAAGAGAGACAGAGGAGGAUCCAGGGAGGAGGAGAGGUAGGAGAAGAAGGAAGGGUGCGGCAGGGUGCAGCGGUGCGAGGGCACUGGUCUCCCGCGUGAGGAGCGCCUCUCCUCGGGAGGAUCUGGAGGGAGUGAGUGAAACUCAAAUCCACUUCAGAGCAAGGUACUGUUGUAGAAGUACGAAGAAGCAAGCUGACCAGAUGUACAAGUAGUAGCCGGCAACGACGAUGAAGCAAGCCAACCAGAUGUGCACGAAACGACCAUACAUCAUGCCUGAUUGAUCCUCCGGUACGUGUUUCAUUGGCCAAUAGCCCAUGCUAGCUAGCUAGCAACCAUGUAAAUUUCCCACGCUUGAUUUAUUCCUUUAGGACUUUAUUAAUUUUAUAUGUUCUUCCCAUGAUUAUCUAGAUAAUACUAACUGUUGAUGUUUCUUUCACGCAUACAUGGCUUUGCUAGGAGUUUUUCCACUGGUGAGGUCUGAACUCUGAAUACUAUGAACUUAAGGAUAAAUCUUAUAGCAGAUCAAAAUCAUGGUCCACGCAAAAAAAAAAAAGAGAGAUCAGAAUCAUGGUUGUGCUGAUUCCAUAGGGGCCUCAUGAUGGUUUGUGUUCUUUUAUUCAAAUGAAAAAACCAAGAUUACUAUUGUAACUGUUACAGUUGUACUAGCAGGAUUAUCCUAGAAGCUGUGCCAAUUUUUCAUCAAUUGAUAACACAGUAAGGUAGUGAAUCAUCUUUGUAGACUUUACCAUGCCUAGACUGGUUGACUUGGAUCAUGUGUAUGUCUUAAACUUUUAAAAAAAAUUCUCACUUUCUAUGCUAAGCUCGAAUUUGAAGAUACAAGUUGAGGUGUGUCUUGGGACAGUGUGACUAAAAAAUGAACCUUCAGUUUCUGCAAUCAAAAGAAAAGUGAGUGAUUUUUCAAUGAAAACAUAAUACUUCUGAGCAUAAGCAUGUUAAAGUCCAGCAAUUGACUUGGCUUAUUGUUUUGGAAAUCGCAACCGGUGCUUUCCUGCUUGUUUUUGUGAUCACUUGUGUUGUUACUGCCUCCAGAAGCUGCAAUCUAAAGCCUUCUAUAAGAAUAUCAUCACAGAGUAGAUCAAAAAGUUGGAGCGACGAGAUAACAGCACUGAUUGGCUGGUAUUAAGUUUAUAAAAUAAAUUGAUUAUUUUGUCUAACAUAUAUUGUCGCUAAUGUGUUCAUGCUUUCCUCAGAUUCUGAUAUGCUGAAAAUUUGCCAAAGUUAUCGUUGGUUGUUUUUUAUCCUGGUCUUCUUGUUUCUUUCAGUUCAUCAUCCGCAAGAUCUACAUCAUCAUCUUUGGGUCAGUUCGCCAUGAAGGCCAUUCUGCGAACGAGGUUGUUCAUGUCCCUCCUCAUGUACAGUUGUACUUCUAUUCUAGGAUUUCAACUCUGCACUCCAUUCCGCAUCCUGAAUAUUCAGAGUCUCGAGUUUGCAUGAGUCUCGAUUUGAUUAAAUGAACAGGUCAGUAAGAUAGAUUUUUGGUCGAGGAUAGAUUUUUGAUCGUGUGUGGGAUGAGAGGGAAUACUUAUCGGGUUAGGGUCGUGACAUUUUUUCUCCCGUUGCAACGCACGGGCAUUUUUGCUAGUAUAUAUUAUUUUUUAUUUUUUAUUUAUAUUUUUAUUUUUUAUAUAAUAAAGCACGGAUCGACUUUGUCGGGUUCACCGUCACGUCACAAUACGCUUUCUUCUCAUGUUAUAAUACGCUUUCACUUUGGAUUUAAUUGACUUUGUCGGGUUCACCGUCACAAUACGCUUUCUUCUCAUGUUAUAAUACGCUUUCACUUUGGAUUUAAAACAUAUAAGCAAGGUGGUACUAAUUCGGCUCGUACCUCAUCCACACCCGUUUUCGUCCGUCCACCGUUUUGUUCGUAAGUCAGUUUCGUUCGGCACCGGCACUGAGAUAGGCAAGCGAACGAUCCAGCCCAUGAGCUGGCACAGGCCCA